RNAcentral lists this long non-coding RNA (243 nucleotides) under Trifolium pratense (red clover). Its description in RNAcentral is "long non-coding RNA (TPRA_LNC008616)". Lineage: Eukaryota; Viridiplantae; Streptophyta; Magnoliopsida; Fabales; Fabaceae. The record is from RNAcentral.
AAACAAAAGGUAUUUUAACAAGCUCAAUAUUCAUUCAAAAGAGUGGGUUUGUAAUCAAUCAAAGUUUUCAAAAUCUCAGAGCACAAGUAAAGCAAUGUCAUCUCAAAGACUAGUUCCAAAAACAUUCAAAGAAAACAAAGCAUGAUCAUGAAAUGAUUCCUAUGCCUAAGCAAAAUUCUCAACAUUCUUAUCAAACAAUCAAGGCUCAAGUGUUAUCUCAAAUUUCUCACAAUUAUUUCUCUC